UGUCAUUACAUCAAAUACAUCAAUCUUUCUAUCAGAAAAAAAUCAUCUUAAUAGACGGAAGAAUUUGUGUAAAGAUGAUUAAUCCAAGCUUAAAAAUUUCAAGGAAAAUAUUCAAUCCAAUUGUUCAAAUAACUAGAGGAGAAAUUCAAGCAACUUUGCCUCGUAACCCAGUACCAAAAUGGGAGAUGAUGGCACAUGGAUUAUUUUUUUUCGUUGGGCUGAUGGCAGUACCAACUUACAUUGCAUUUAAUAUAAAACAUUACCGAGGUGACAGUAAAUAAGCAUCAAAUUAUAAUCAUCACAUAAAUUAUCUUCUCUAUACAAUUAAUAUACUAUAAUAGUGAAACUAAAGAGUACGUAAUUAUACUCAAUAUUAUUAGAUGAAAUAAAAAUUUCUUUAAUGUCUUGGUGACGAGUA
Molecule: long non-coding RNA, 418 nt
Organism: Chelonus insularis
Lineage: Eukaryota; Metazoa; Arthropoda; Insecta; Hymenoptera; Braconidae
Exons: 2
Source: RefSeq, a predicted model, not a curated record